Molecule: ribosomal RNA, 1346 nt
Filed under: uncultured bacterium
Lineage: Bacteria
Description: partial 16S ribosomal RNA
Rfam family: Bacterial small subunit ribosomal RNA
Source: RNAcentral
GACGAACGCUGGCGGCGUGCUUAACACAUGCAAGUCGAACGGAAAGGCCCUGCUUUUGUGGGGUGCUCGAGUGGCGAACGGGUGAGUAGCACGUGAGUAACCUGCCCUUGACUUUGGGAUAACUUCAGGAAACUGGGGCUAAUACCGGAUAGGAGCUCCUGCUGCAUGGUGGGGGUUGGAAAGUUUCGGCGGUUGGGGAUGGACUCGCGGCUUAUCAGCUUGUUGGUGGGGUAGUGGCUUACCAAGGCUUUGACGGGUAGCCGGCCUGAGAGGGUGACCGGCCACAUUGGGACUGAGAUACGGCCCAGACUCCUACGGGAGGCAGCAGUGGGGAAUAUUGCACAAUGGGCGGAAGCCUGAUGCAGCAACGCCGCGUGCGGGAUGACGGCCUUCGGGUUGUAAACCGCUUUCGCCUGUGACGAAGCGUGAGUGACGGUAAUGGGUAAAGAAGCACCGGCUAACUACGUGCCAGCAGCCGCGGUGAUACGUAGGGUGCGAGCGUUGUCCGGAUUUAUUGGGCGUAAAGGGCUCGUAGGUGGUUGAUCGCGUCGGAAGUGUAAUCUUGGGGCUUAACCCUGAGCGUGCUUUCGAUACGGGUUGACUUGAGGAAGGUAGGGGAGAAUGGAAUUCCUGGUGGAGCGGUGGAAUGCGCAGAUAUCAGGAGGAACACCAGUGGCGAAGGCGGUUCUCUGGGCCUUUCCUGACGCUGAGGAGCGAAAGCGUGGGGAGCGAACAGGCUUAGAUACCCUGGUAGUCCACGCUGUAAACGGUGGGUACUAGGUGUGGGGUCCAUUCCACGGGUUCCGUGCCGUAGCUAACGCUUUAAGUACCCCGCCUGGGGAGUACGGCCGCAAGGCUAAAACUCAAAGGAAUUGACGGGGCUCCGCACAAGCGGCGGAGCAUGCGGAUUAAUUCGAUGCAACGCGUAGAACCUUACCUGGGUUUGACAUGGAUCGGGAGUGCUCAGAGAUGGGUGUGCCUCUUUUGGGGUCGGUUCACAGGUGGUGCAUGGCUGUCGUCAGCUCGUGUCGUGAGAUGUUGGGUUAAGUCCCGCAACGAGCGCAACCCUUGUUCACUGUUGCCAGCACGUUAUGGUGGGGACUCAGUGGAGACCGCCGGGGUCAACUCGGAGGAAGGUGGGGAUGACGUCAAGUCAUCAUGCCCCUUAUGUCCAGGGCUUCACGCAUGCUACAAUGGCUGGUACAGAGAGUGGCGAGCCUGUGAGGGUGAGCGAAUCUCGGAAAGCCGGUCUCAGUUCGGAUUGGGGUCUGCAACUCGACCUCAUGAAGUCGGAGUCGCUAGUAAUCGCAGAUCAGCAACGCUGCGGUGAAUACGUUCCCGGGGCU